This 799-nucleotide non-coding RNA is filed under the name Megabalanus volcano. Lineage: Eukaryota; Metazoa; Arthropoda; Thecostraca; Balanomorpha; Balanidae. The record is from RNAcentral.
UUAAGAUUUAUAAAUUAAUUUCUGUAAAAAAUAUUUUUUACGUUUAAUUGAUCGUUGAGGUCCGUGUUGUAGUCUUAGCUAUAAGAUAGAUUUACAUGUAGGUUUAUGCGGGAAGUUAGAAAAAAUAGAAUUUUAAAAAGAAACUCUCAGUAGAAAAUAUUAGAAAUAUACGAAUAGUUCUAUCUAGGUAAUUUUUAAGAAGUGGAUAAUGGCGUGCCAGCAGCCGCGGUUAUACUCCUGCUUCAAGUUAAGAUUAAUAUACGAGGUUAUUUUUAUGGAGGAUUAAAGGAAUUUUUUUUAAAUUAUUAAGUAGAAUUUUAAUUUGGAACAAAAACAUAAAGACAUAGAAAUUACAGUUAUAGUAGGAACCAGGAUUAGAUACCCUGUUACUUAUAAGGAAGGAGCCUUGGAAUAGUAUUACUAAAUGAAAUUUAACGGAUUUGGCGGCAAGAUAGCCAUUUAGAGGAACCUGCCCUAUAAACGAUGAGCCACGAAGACCCUACUUUUACUAGUAAUUCAGUUUGUAUACCGCUGUUGUCAGUUAGUUUCCUUAGAAAGCUCUCGUGCAUGAUAAAAUCAUAGACUUCAAGUAAAGGUGCAGCUAAUGUAGAAGAUAGAGGUGGGUUACAUUUUAAGAAUGAUACGGAUAAAGUGAAUGAAAAAUCUUUUGAAGGUGGAUUUAAUUGUAAAGUUUAAGAAAACUUGAUGGGAGCUCUGUCUUGUGUACACACCGCCCGUCGCUCUCUUUUUUAAACGAGAUAAGUCGUAACAAGGUAAGUGUAAUGGAAAUUGUACUUGA